GGGGGAGAGGAAGUGCACAUGCAGGUCGAUGCCGCCUGCCGUGCAGAUGAGGCCCUCGCCUGAGAUGGCCUCGGUGGAGGCGCCGACGACAAAGUCCACGUCGUCCAUAUUGUCGGGGUUGCCGCCCUUGCCGAUUGCGAGAAUCUUGCCGUCACGCAAUCCGAUGUCCGCCUUGUAGAUGCCGGUGUAGUCGAUGAUCAGGACGCCGGAGAUGAUGGUAUCGGCGACCAUCGGGUCGGAUUCGCGGGUGGCGGUCGCAGAGACGCCCAUGCCGUCACG
This 279-nucleotide small RNA is filed under the name bovine gut metagenome. RNAcentral's name for it is "5' ureB small RNA". It matches the Rfam family "5' ureB small RNA". The record is from RNAcentral.